RNAcentral lists this ribosomal RNA (455 nucleotides) under uncultured bacterium. RNAcentral's name for it is "bacterial SSU rRNA". It matches the Rfam family "Bacterial small subunit ribosomal RNA", at positions 340 to 785 of the family's 1533-position model. The record is from RNAcentral.
UACGGAAGGCAGCAGUGGGGAAUAUUGCACAAUGGGCGCAAGCCUGAUGCAGCCAUGCCGCGUGUAUGAAGAAGGCCUUCGGGUUGUAAAGUACUUUCAGCGGGGAGGAAGGCGGUGAAGUUAAUAGCUUCACCGAUUGACGUUACCCGCAGAAGAAGCACCGGCUAACUCCGUGCCAGCAGCCGCGGUAAUACGGAGGGUGCAAGCGUUAAUCGGAAUUACUGGGCGUAAAAGCGCACGCAGGCGGUCUGUCAAGUCGGAUGUGAAAUCCCCGGGCUUAACCUGGGAACUGCAUUCGAAACUGGCAGGCUAGAGUCUUGUAGAGGGGGUAGAAUUCCAGGUGUAGCGGUGAAAUGCGUAGAGAUCUGGAGGAAUACCGGUGGCGAAGGCGGCCCCUGGGACAAGACUGACGCUCAGGUGCGAAAGCGUGGGGAGCGAAACGAGGAUUAGGAUAC